UAAGCACCUUAACAGUCCCUUAUAGCCUUUGUGGAAAUGCAAAUCACGUAGGAGGGGAUGGGAUCCUAGACUAACAGAAAGGACUGUAGUCCAACUAAGCCUAUUAACAAGCCCCAAGUACCCUCUGCAGUAAAGCAAAGGGAGUUAGGUGGGAAUAGGAUCCUAGGUUUUAAAAAAAGGACUGUACCUGCAUUUAAGCACAGUUAACAGUCCAUUGUACACUGAGGUACAAUCCAAAUAGAGGCGGGAAAGGAAAUCUAGACCAACAGAAGGGAGAAUAGCUUUAAUUAAGCCUAUUAACAGUCCCAAGUACCCUCUGCUGUGAUGGAAAGGGAGUUAGGUGGGAAUGGAUUUUGAGGUUAACAAAAGGCACUGUACCUGCACUUAAACACAUAAGAGUCCCUUGUAGCCUCUUUAGUAAUUCAAAGCAAGUCAGGCUGGGAAUGGGAUCCUAGAAUAACAG
RNAcentral lists this long non-coding RNA (463 nucleotides) under Sus scrofa (pig). RNAcentral describes it as "lncRNA (ENSSSCG00070028135.1)". The record is from RNAcentral. Lineage: Eukaryota; Metazoa; Chordata; Mammalia; Artiodactyla; Suidae.